GAAAAUGGAGAUAUCAGUGCAGGGAGUCAUAUAAGGGAUGAUAGGACCGCCGAUAGGAACAGAAAAAUACAGACAAAAUAAAGGGAAUUAAAGAUAAGAAAUGGCAACGGGCGGACACUCAGGAUAUAGGGAACAGAUAUGGAGGAAAAGAGUACCCACGUGACACCCUUGGAAAUAACUCAUGUAAAAAGGAUCCAAAACAUGUGAUGCAAGCUAAUUCUAUCUUAUUCCUGGCAACACAACAAAACUUAAGCAGAUUUAUUAUUUCUUACUUACCAAGAUUAAUUUGUUAAUAGUUGCCAUUCCAAAGCUUUAAGAAUAUUUUACCUAUUUCUUUAGUUUAGUAAAAGGCCAUGUGUGUGACAGAGUUGAAAAUAUAUGGAUUUUAUACGCGUUUGAAAUACACGUUUUAGAUGAAUGUAAGUAUAGUUUUAUCGAGUAUUUUCCCAUUUAAAAGACCCACGAACACUUAACAGUUAGCUGGGUCCUCCCGGGCUUUCAGGAAGGGCCCCCGAUGGACUGUGACAUGGGUAUACUGCCCCGCCUUCACCCGCGGCUACGAGGAACGCUUUAAAUUUUACAUAAGACAAACGAUAUCAACUGUUGACCUUACCAUGUAGCAAAUAGUUUAGUAGUAGUAGUAGUAGUAGUAGCAGCAGUGGGUACCGGAAAGAAUUACUCCUCCAUGGACAUUUCACCCCUUGACAAGAGAUUCCCUUCUGGGCAUUUCCCCAUCCGAACAUUUUCCACUCAAUUAUCUAUUUAAUAAGAGUGAAACAAUAAAUAAAUGAAUAAAAAAACAGACGAUUAAAGAUAAGGAGCACAUGAUAAAAGAAAAAUCCGGGAAGUAAGGAAAGAGGGAAACGGAGUAAGUUUUUGGACGCCCUGUGCGCGUUCCCGAGGCCCCUCGACUUACCAUCCCAAAGACGAUAUACGCGGCGAGCAUUGCGAUAUCUUAUAUUAAUUUCAUAAUCCAGUCUGGUAGUUUUAAGAAGCGAGUUCUUGCAUCCGCCGUCCUCCUCGACUCGGAGGGGAUCGAGAGUAAGGAGCGCCAGCGAGCCCAAGGUCUCCCUGGCGAGAAGGGCGGUACUGGAGGGCUCCCAGAGGGGCGCCUUGGUGUGCCCCGGGGCGUCCGCGGAGGUGCCGGAGAUCGGGUAGGUGGGGCUCGUUAGCCGUGGUAGGCAGUCCACCUAGGAGAGCAAACUCCGAACAACAAACCCGGGCAGAUGGGGCUCGUUAGCCGUGGUAGGCAGUCCAUCUAGGAGAGCAAACUCCGAACAUCAAACCCGGCAGGUGGAGGUCGUUAGCGCGAGCAGUUCACCUAGGAGAGCAAACUCCGAUGAAAAAUCCGGGCAGGUGGAGCUCGUUAGCGUGAGCAGUUCACCUAGGAGAGCAAACUCCGAUGAAAAAUCCGGGCAGGUGGAGCUCGUUAGCGUGAGCAGUUCACCUAGGAGAAGGACAACUCCGAACAACAAACCCGGGCAGAUGAAGGUCGUUAGCCAUGGUAGGCAAUUCAUCUAGGAGAAGGACAACUCCGAACAACAAACCCGGGCAGAUGAAGGUCGUUAGCCAUGGUAGGCAAUUCAUCUAGGAGAGGGACAACUCCGAACAACAAACCCGGGCAGAUGAAGGUCGUUAGCCAUGGUAGGCAGUUCAUCUAGGAGAGGGACAACUCCGAACAACAAACCCGGGCAGAUGAAGGUCGUUAGCUAUGGUAGGCAAUUCAUCUAGGAGAGGGACAACUCCGAACAACAAACACGGACAGAUGGAGGUCGUCAGCCGUGGUAGGCAAUUCAUCUAGGAGAGGGACAACUCCGAACAACAAACACGGGCAGAUGAAGGUCGUUAGCCAUAGUAGGCAAUUCAUCUAGGAGAGGGACAACUCCGAACAACAAACACGGGCAGAUGGAGGUCGUUAGCCGUGGUAGGUAAUUCAUCUAGGAGAGGGACAACUCCGAACAACAAACACGGGCAGAUGGAGGUCGUCAGCCGUGGUAGGCAAUUCAUCUAGGAGAGGGACAACUCCGAACAACAAACACGGACAGAUGGAGGUCGUCAGCCGUGGUAGGCAAUUCAUCUAGGAGAGGGACAACUCCGAACAACAAACACGGACAGAUGGAGGUCGUUAGCCAUGGUAGGCAAUUCAUCUAGGAGAGGGACAACUCCGAACAACAAACCCGGCAGGUGGAGGUCGUUAGCCGCGAGGCAGUUCACCUAGGAGAGCAAACUCCGAUUACAAACCCGGCAGGUGGAGGUCGUUAGCGUGAGCAGUUCACCUAGGAGAGCAAACUCCGAUUAAAAACCCGGCAGGUGGAGGUCGUUAGCGAGAGCAGUCCACCUAGGAGAGCAAACUCCGAUUAAAAACCCGGCAGGUGGAGGUCGUUAGCGUGAGCAGUUCACCUAGGAGAGCAAACUCCGAUUACAAACCCGGCAGGUGGAGGUCGUUAGCGCCAGCAGUUCACCUAGGAGAGCAAACUCCGAUUAAAAACCCGGCAGGUGGAGGUCGUUAGCGUGAGCAGUUCACCUAGGAGAGCAAACUCCGAUUAAAAACCCGGCAGGUGGAGGUCGUUAGCGUGAGCAGUUCACCUAGGAGAAGGACAACUCUGAUCACAAACCCGGGGAGGUGGAGAUCGUUAGCCGCGAGGCAGUUCACCUAGGAGAGCAAACUCCGAUCACAAACCCGGGCAGGAGGGGGUCGUCAGCCGUGGUAGGCAGUCCUCCUAGGAGAAGGAAAACUCCGAAUUCAAACCACACACACACACACACACACACACACACCGGGCAGGUGGGGCUCGUUAUAGGCGUCGUAGACAAUCCACCAAGGGGAAUAAACAAAGAAGGGAUAAUAACAACGAACACAAGAAAAGAAUAUGAAAUUAGAACAGAACAAAACAGGAUGAUAUAAAAGAGAAC
Eriocheir sinensis (Chinese mitten crab) is the source of this 2913-nucleotide long non-coding RNA. RefSeq lists it as uncharacterized. The record is from RefSeq and is a predicted model, not a curated record. The transcript has 2 exons. Lineage: Eukaryota; Metazoa; Arthropoda; Malacostraca; Decapoda; Varunidae.